RNAcentral lists this transfer RNA (76 nucleotides) under Sulfuriferula sp. RNAcentral's name for it is "tRNA-Phe". It matches the Rfam family "tRNA". Rfam says of the family: Transfer RNA (tRNA) molecules are approximately 80 nucleotides in length. Their secondary structure includes four short double-helical elements and three loops (D, anti-codon, and T loops). The record is from RNAcentral. Lineage: Bacteria; Pseudomonadati; Pseudomonadota; Betaproteobacteria; Nitrosomonadales; Sulfuricellaceae. RNAcentral also lists the same sequence under 1 other name.
GGCUGGAUAGCUCAGUUGGUAGAGCAGCGGAUUGAAAAUCCGCGUGUCGCAGGUUCGAUUCCCGCUCCAGCCACCA